Molecule: long non-coding RNA, 1993 nt
Organism: Numida meleagris (helmeted guineafowl)
Lineage: Eukaryota; Metazoa; Chordata; Aves; Galliformes; Numididae
Exons: 5
Source: RefSeq, a predicted model, not a curated record
GCACUGAAGCCAAUUUGGGAUCCAUCUCAUUUUCAAGCUACGACCUGCCCAAGAUCACAUAAUUUCUCAAAAACCUUUGAGAUCUCAUUCAAACGUUACAGAUUUGCGGCUUCAUGCUUUCUAGAGAUAAACUGUGACUUUUCCCCAAGGACUGGAGGAUUUUAUUUUCUUUUCCGCUGAAACUCUUAGAGCUGUACGACUGCAGAAGCUAAACAAAAUGCAGAACUACAAGCAUCACAUCUGCCAUGCUCUUAGGUGUAUUGAGGAUGUUCUGUGGGCUCAAAGCAUUCCUGAGCACCCUCUGGGACAGGCAAGCUGGUGUGAAAGCAGAGAAGGAGCAACCCUAGGAAUAACUGCAUCCUGAAAAUGUCAAACUUUCUUAUCCUUUUCAUUGUCACUAGAGCUGAAAUAAAUGCAGAAGACGGGUGAGCCUCCUGAUGAUGUCAAGAAAGCAAAUGUAUUACUUGUGCUUGAAAAUGCAGGAGAAUCUGAGGGGAGAGAGGCCAUAGAGGAUUUACAGAAAGCGCUCAGAAGGAAGCAGACUGUUUGGAUCAGGCAACAGUCUACAGCUAUGUGUCCAAAACAAGAGCUUUUGUUCCAAACUGGGCUGAUGCAUGCCAUCAAAUAUGCGAAGAAUGCAGGGCCGUUUGUGGUGCUACUACAGAUACCAUCACAGGAAAGCCAAGCACACAAAUUCCUGUUGAAAUAACACUACAGUUAAGAUGAAGACAACCAAAAUAAAGCAAAUUCAAAGCAGGAGGAUGCCAUACUCUGCAAGUGUGAUACUGUUUGAUAUCAAAUGAUCUCUGCUUUUCUUUGAAAUCCACCAUUUGCAGACAUUUCCCUCAAGCAAGUGCCGUGGUUCAGGCAAUUAGCUGUGAAACCUUUCAGGGUUGAAGGGUUGAGGUUAGUUACAAGAAGGGGGUUAAGAGUUUUGAAUCAGCUAGUGUGCUUUCAGACAAAAUCUAUGAAGGCUGCAUCCCCUACAUCAAGAGUUGAUGAUUUUCCAAUUGACAUUGUUUUCAAAAUCAAACAUGUCCAUAUAUGUGAAAGCUGUCUGUGUAAACAUGUAUGAAUCGGAGGACAUUUUGCACUGGUUUGUGAAAAAGCUCUGUCAAUUGCUCUGAGCAAUCUUCUUACUCAGUUCAGUGGUAUUUUUGUAACAACACCACAAUUAACAGUUAAGAUUGCAUUCACACUUUAGAUUGAAGUGGGAAUUAUUUUUGUUGUUAGGCAUGAAAAUAGUGAUUGAACAUAACUAAAAAUAACACUGUUUUCUUUCUAGAAAAUUGUAUGGAAAUAUAUUCAUUCCUUUGGGAAUUCAAGCAAAUUUAGAGUAAUGCUUUUUAAAUUUUAUAACAUCUGUAACACUUGAACUGUCAUUUUAGUGCUUGAAACUCUAAGCAGGCAUAAAUGGAAAUUCACUCCAAUAGACUGACUACCUUGAAAAUACAUUAAAUGAGCAAAAUUUCUAACACACUGCAUCAUUAGUAGUAGCUAAAGAAUUAAAAACAAAACAAAACUCACAAAGCACUAAAUCUGCCAAAUGGCAUAUCUGAGCUCUCACACUUGCCAGUUUUGGAAUUAGCUUCUUUGGGCAGCUGGUAGAGUUAGUUUUCAGUAAAGCAAAUAUUUUGCAGAAGUGAAUUUAUCUUUCAGUCCAGAAUUUGAGGCAACACAAGGAGCUACAUUUCUUUGUCAAGACAACAGCUCAAGAGGUUGCUGUGUCAGGACCACCAUCUGCUGAUGCUUGUCAGCACACUGUAGUGGGAGAUAUUUUUCAUCGCCCUUUGGGGGUGAACUAAAGAAAAUCUCUUUUGCUUGCUGUGUGCAACUCUAAGAUAUUGUAAGUUCACCUGGAGAAUAGGUGUUCAUAGCUACAAGGGCUGCUCCAAAAGUAAUGCCUCCAAUUGUAUGAUGUUGGCCUGUCGUCAGGAGGCGGAUGUUGGUGGUAUGGGAGUAGAGGUUGAACCUUCCCACUGAUAUCCCAUUA